CAAUAGCGUAUAUUUAAGUUGCUGCAGUUAAAAAGCUCGUAGUUGGAUUUUGGCUGAGAACGAUCGGUCCGCCGUUAGGUGUGCACUGAUUGGUCUCAGCUUCCUGGUGAGGAGGUGUGCUUCACGGCCACUUAGUCACCGUGGUUACUUUGAAAAAAUUAGAGUGUUCAAAGCGGGCUUACGCUUGAAUAUAUUAGCAUGGAAUAACACCAUAGGACUCCUGUCCUAUUUCGUUGGUCUCGGGACGGGAGUAAUGAUUAAGAGGAACAGUUGGGGGCAUUCGUAUUUCAUUGUCAGAGGUGAAAUUCUUGGAUUUAUGAAAGACGAACUUCUGCGAAAGCAUUUGCCAAGGAUGUUUUCAUUGA
This 365-nucleotide ribosomal RNA is filed under the name uncultured eukaryote. RNAcentral's name for it is "partial 18S ribosomal RNA". It matches the Rfam family "Eukaryotic small subunit ribosomal RNA", at positions 592 to 976 of the family's 1831-position model. The record is from RNAcentral.